Molecule: ribosomal RNA, 429 nt
Filed under: Bacteroidota bacterium
Lineage: Bacteria; Pseudomonadati; Bacteroidota
Description: Bacteroidetes bacterium partial 16S ribosomal RNA
Rfam family: Bacterial small subunit ribosomal RNA
Source: RNAcentral
UAGGGAAUCUUCCGCAAUGGACGCAAGUCUGACGGAGCAACGCCGCGUGAGUGAAGAAGGAUUUCGGUUCGUAAAACUCUGUUGUUAGAGAAGAACAGCGCAUAGAGUAACUGUUAUGCGUGUGGCGGUAUCUAACCAGAAAGCCACGGCUAACUACGUGCCAGCAGCCGCGGUAAUACGUAGGUGGCAAGCGUUGUCCGGAUUUAUUGGGCGUAAAGCGAGCGCAGGCGGUCAAUUAAGUCUGAUGUGAAAGCCCCCGGCUCAACCGGGGAGGGCCAUUGGAAACUGGUUGACUUGAGUGCAGAAGAGGAGAGUGGAAUUCCAUGUGUAGCGGUGAAAUGCGUAGAUAUAUGGAGGAACACCGGUGGCGAAAGCGGCUCUCUGGUCUGUAACUGACGCUGAGGCUCGAAAGCGUGGGGAGCGAACAGG